UACGGAGGGUGCAAGCGUUUGUCCGGAUUUAUUGGGUUUAAGGGUGCGUAGGCGGCUUUUUAAGUCAGUGGUGAAAUACAGCAGCUCAACUGUUGAGGUGCCAUUGAUACUGAGAGGCUUGAGUACAGAUGAGGUAGGCGGAAUUUAUGGUGUAGCGGUGAAAUGCAUAGAUACCAUAAAGAACACCGAUUGCGAAGGCAGCUUACUAAGCUGUAACUGACGCUGAGGCACGAAAAGCGUGGGGGAGCGAACAGG
This 255-nucleotide ribosomal RNA is filed under the name uncultured bacterium. RNAcentral describes it as "partial 16S ribosomal RNA". It matches the Rfam family "Bacterial small subunit ribosomal RNA", at positions 524 to 776 of the family's 1533-position model. The record is from RNAcentral.